GUCGUCGGCCGCCCGCCCAGCUGCGCACGCGCUCCUUCACGCCACAACACUACAGAAUUCACUCGAGUUGGAUCCACGUUACGUUUCGCCUAAUGGAAGAGAGCUGAUGUUUUGGCAACAUGUCUUUUAGAAAUUAUUAUGAUACGCCAUCCUACGGCCGGAGUCGAGACACCGGAAGAACUUCGACGAGUACCGCCGCGGAUCGGCCGACUACAGUCACAGCGAAGUACCUCAACACAACACCGUCUUACAAGUCGUCAAGCAUCCCUAUACUGUGCCCUGAACGCUCGGCAAAAGAAGAUACCCCGAUAUCAACUAUUGCUAAUCGAUACGCAAACUAUGGUAAAACGGAAAAACCCACGACAAAAUACGAUGCCUACAAUACAACCAAGGUGGAAAAAUCUCCGAACAAAUACGAUUCGUACAGUAGUAGUAAAUCAGACAAAUCUGCAAACAAAUAUGAUACCUACAAUUCUAACAAAACAGAUAAACCUUCAAGUAAAUAUGAUGCAUAUAGUAGUAGCAAAACAGAAAAACCUGUUUCUAAAUACGAUGCAUAUAGUACAACUAAAACCGAGAAACCUAUAUCGAAAUAUGAAAAGAAAGACUAUUCAAAACUUACCGUACCAUCUAUCACGACGAAUAAAAGUAGAGACGUAAGUCCCGUUUCGACAUCGAAAUACAGUCUGAGCCGACCUUCUCGGCAUUUAAGUCCAGAGAGAAGAGCAACGAAAACGUUCAAAGAUAAAAGCCGAGAUCCUAGCCCAGGGGAUCACGACAAAGACAUUCCAAGCAAGACUGACAAGUCUACAGGCUAUAAUAGCCUGUCGAGUUACAAGUUAUAUCCUCGAACUUCAAAUUACACACGACCUGCAUCUAGAGCAGAGGCUAAACCAGAAAUUACAGUUAACAGAUACGCUAUAGCAAAUAGACUGUCCUCAAAUUAUCUAAGAAGUCCACCGACUGUUAAACGAACAUCUGUAUCACCAGUCAAUCACAAUGAAACUGUUAAAUGUGAGGUAGAUAAAUGUAUAUCACAGCCUUCUACCGUAGAAGAAAUAAAACCACAAAACGAACCAGUUAGCUCAAAUAAUGAAGUUUUAAAUACAAACGACAAACAAACUGAAGAAAAUGAAAAUGAGACUGAAACUGUUUCUAUUGUAACACGACACACUUCUCCAACGCCACCCGGUUCUUCUGCUUAUGUUCGAAGUAGAAGGGCAGACAUGGCCAAAACGAUAGAAAAAUCUAUAACGAGACCGAAGAAGAGACCAGAAAUGAUUGACAAAGAAAUCCAGUCUGAUCGAUUAGAUGAUCCAACGAGAUCAAGUAGAUUCGGUAGUACGGCAAGAACAAGCGUUACAAAUUGGUCUUACUAUACACCAAAUUCUAACAGCUACACGGGGUAUGCCGGCAGAUAUUCAACUCAAUAUUCAAACAUAAGAGAUAGUUCAGGUAGUAAUUCAUAUUCUCCCAGUGAAAGGACUGGGCGAAGUCAAAGUACUGAACCCGAACGAAGAGAUAAUUCAAAUUGCAAUUCCUUAUCAGAAAGUAACAAUAUAGACUGCAAUGUAUCAAAUCAUAUAGGUGAAAAUGAACAAGAAGUCGUUUCAGUUUAUGCUUCUGAACAAAAUAAAGGUGAUGACACAUCAGAAAUAAUAAUUAAUGUGAACUUAAAAUUAAAAAGAGCUAAAAGUCCUGUAGCGUCUACUGAACUCGUUUCACCUGAAAUCACAAUAACAAACAGUCAGUUGCCACCACAAGCACCUAAACCCGACGGAGCGACAAAGACUAAAAAGAUUAAAGUAAAAAAAUCUAGCGCAGAUUCAUCAUCAGAUUCGAGUGGUAAAAAAAAGAUAAUAAAAAGGAGAAGUAAAUCAGUGAGCUCUACAGAUUCAGAUCAAGGAAGCGAAGUUAGUGACAAAGGAUCUCCUCCAAAAAGUUUGCAAAAGAACUCGUCAAGUAGUAACUUACAAAAUGGACCUUCAAAAUUGAAACAUUCCAAAUCACGGGAGAGUGCAAGUCCAGAAUCAAGUAUCACUUUAUCAACGCAAUCAUCUAUUAGUGAGGAUGAAACGGUGUCUAAGUCUAAAACUAAUGAAGUAUCCAGAACUUCUGCUGACGAGUUAUCUAUUCCAACUGAUAGAUCAGGAAAGCAGCCAUCACCACUACCACCACAAAAGAAUGAAACUGGUACUGAAGAAGCUAAGUCGUUUUUAAUAAGAGCAUUGGCACCCGUUACGAAUCUUUUUAAAAUGAGACAUCAGGAAAGCAGUGAUAAUAGUCGUUGGUUAGAAACUUCUACUUCAGAGUCAACAGGAAAAGACGUUUCAAAUAUAACCACAGAGAGUGAACGGUUAAGUAAAGGAAAGAAUGAUACAACGAACAUCAUAGCAUCAAAUGAGGAUAAUCUAGUUAAACUCAAAUCAAUAAGACCCAUAGAAUCUGGAGAACGAGCAUGGUGGCUAGAUUCUGAAUCGAAAAAUAGCACACAAAACAACAGUGAACAUACAAGGUCUCCAUCAGAAAAGAACAUUCCUAGAAAGAUAAGACAUGUUGAAUCCGGAGAAAAAGCGUGGUGGCUAGAAUCUAAUAGUGAAAAUAAACAAGACAACCAAAUGGUUCGUAAUAACACAAUAGAGAGUUCUGAUUCAAACAGACUUCCAAAGAAAUGUAAAUUUGCUGAUGAUGAAAAGCCGUGGUGGUUAGAUAGCUGUGCAAAUAUACCUGAAGGGGUAGAACGGCUAAGUCCACCGAGGAAGUCUUCCAGUGACAGCGAGAAGAGUGAAAAGUUCAACUUUUUCAAAGUGCGCCAUAAUGAAUCUGGAGAGCAAAAAGACUGGUGGCUCACAAGCAAUGAAAACUCAACCAAUAGUAGUAAACCGGAACAUAAUCAAAUGCUUAGCAAAUCUGGUUCAGAAAGGAGCUUCCCCCUCAGACGGAUACGACACAUAGAAUCUGGAGAAAGACCUUGGUGGUUGGCAAGUGACAAAAACAUUCCCGAAGGUAUAGAAAAGCUGCCAACGCCUCCACCACCACCAGAAGAAAGUGACUCAUCUGAUUCGGAAGUCCAAGCCUACGUUCCACCUGCACAUAUACCUCCGUUUCCUUUACAUUUGCCUGAUGAUGAACCGUUGGGUACUAGGAGAAGUCCCGAGGGCUUAGAAACGCCAAGAGAGAAUGAAGACUAUAGAGGACGCACGUCACCUUACGAAAAUAGCAAUCAUCAAUUCAGGAGGCCUUCAACCAACUCCUACCAAAAAGGCGUAAACAAAUACAUUUCUCGUUAUACUGACAUAGACGAUAUUCUUGGUACAUCUGGACAAAUAUAUAGUCCAUUUAUGGACUCGAUACUGGCAAGAAGGACCGGUCAGAUGCCUUAUGAUGACAAUGAUACGUGUGAAGAAAUAGAUCCAACUCAAGUCAGAAUCCACGAUAGUACGGCGCAACGGCCAGUUAUUAAGAAGAUUCGUUCCAGAAGUAGUAUUGUCGACUACCGGGAGGAGGAUCAACUCGAUGACGCCACUUUACAAGUCUUCAAAGAUGGUGACUACGGGCCUUAUCUGGACCUGGAUUCCACGCUCGGUGAGCAAGAUGAGGAGCUUGAAGGACUUCAAGACAGUCGCAAAAAUGCCUUGGUCCUUCGCACCCAGUUGUCUGUGCGCGUCCACGCUAUUAUUGAAAGACUACUUCACUCUCAAGGACGCGAGUUACGGAGGGCACUAUUUACGCUAAAACAGAUCUUGCAAUCAGACAAGGAUUUGGUGCACGAGUUCGUCGCCAACAAAGGAUUGGACUGUCUGAUGCAAGUCGGCAAUAUGGCGGACCAUAACUAUCUGGAUUACAUACUGCGAGCUCUUGGACAGAUACUGCUGUACGUUGACGGCAUGCAUGGAGUAAUGGCCCACAAACGCUGCAUCCAAUGGCUCUACACGCUCAUCGCUAGCAAAUUCCGGCACGUCGUCAAAACCGCUCUCAAACUCCUUCUAGUCUUCGUGGAAUACACUGAAAAGAACUGCCUCCUCCUCAUAGAUGCUAUUAUAUCUGUGGACAACUCCAACGGCCGACAGCCUUGGCACAACAUUAUGAAAAUUCUGCAAGACUUUGACGCAUCAGACACAGAACUUCUAAUAUACGCCACUACUUUGAUAAAUAGGUGUCUAAACAAUGUGCCCGAUAGAGACACUUACUACGACCAAGUAGAUGCCUUGCAGGAUCAAGGCAUAGAUGACAUUAUACAACUGUACAUGUCAAAGCAAGGGACGGAUUUGGAUCUGCUGAGACAGCUGCAGAUAUUCGAAGCUGUGCUGCUGUAUGAAGAUGGUGAUGAAACUGGAACUGCUCUGAAGCAACUAGAUGACUCCGUGAUCAAUUCAAUUCGCCGCAGAAGCAUUAACCUAAGUACUGAAAGAAGAAAAUCUAAAAAGCAACAAUGCAAAGAAAAAGCAAAACCAGUCAUCACUCACACAGAAACAGAAAACAAAAUAACGAAUAACCAUCGCACACAAUUCUUACCCUCCAUCACCGAUCAUAACAAAGAGAACAAAGAACUGAGCUCAGCAUUACGUCGGCGACGAGACCGAUACGCGAGGCAAGCCCACCACAUCAUACAACAACAAGAGCUGAUGAACCACUCCAGUGAUAUCUACAACGGCCUCUUCCCAAAUCCUAAUGAAAGUUUCACGAGCACUAAUGGAAGUUUUACAAGUACAAAUGGAAAUUAUUACACCCCUAACGGAACCUUAAACAAUGCAAAUGGUAGCUUCACGAGCCCAAAUGGCAGCUUUACAAGUUUGAAUGGAACUUUCACAAGCGUCAAUGGAAGUUUCUCAAGUGGCAACGUAAGCUUUCCAAGUCUGAUUGGCAACUACACAAACACAAAUGGGAGUUUUUCUAGUACGAUUAGUAACUACACUAAUGGAUCAUACACGAACAAUAAGAGUUACUCAGCUGUAAAUGGGAACAUCAAUGUUACAAGUCAAUUAAAUGGAGCCAACGGCCACCAAGAAGAAGACGAUAAAUACGUUACUAGAACGACGAAGAAUUUUAACUUAGCAGAUGUUUUAAAGAAUGGAAGCCAAAGAUAUACAUCAGGCCUAAAACAGAGGAUCCAAAAUGGAACACUAGGCCAUACUGUGAACGCUGUAGAUGCGAUAACCGUAAUGCGUCAAAAGCAGACUGAUCCCACCCCAGAGGUGAAAGACGAUCGGGGUUUCCUGCUAAACAGAGAACACAGUAUCAAAGAUCUGGCGCAGAGGCUGACCAGCCCGGUCAGCCCUACCACUGAAGAAAAACCUUUGAGGGUUUCUGAUAUGGCGGGAAUUGUGUCGAAAGCCAAAGAAGAACUAGCUAAAUCUCAAUCAAAAGAAAUUAUAAAAAGCCCAACAAUAGAAAAAUCCCCAAAAGUACACGAAAUAAAAGUAUCGGAGAAUGAUCUACACUGGGAAGAACUCAGAAAAGGCUGUCUUCACAGAGAAUUUCAUCUGUGCGACUUGGACUUCUCGGAUCUUCGCGAGGACUCGGACGACGAGAUGUCAUCGCCUGCAAUAACCGCAGCCAGCGGUCCUCCACCUCCGCCACCAACAAUGUUCCCUCCAAUGGGAAUACCUCCACCUCUACCGGGCUGUUUCCCAAUGCUAUCCAAAAACAACAUUCCCAAUCCACCUAAGCCAGCACUAUCUUCAGAAAUGUCAAACGAUUCUGACAGUUCCACGAUCAAAAAGAAUAAGAAAACUGUGAAGCUAUUUUGGAAGGAGAUUCAAGAGAAUCCAACACCAGUUGCCAUUAGGCCGAAGGUUGGAGGAUUCAUAUGGGAUGACCUGCCUAACGUGACAGUAGAUACCAAUAUGUUAGAGCACCUGUUUGAGUCCAGGACCAACGACUUAAUAAUCAAAGUAAAAGCUAAUGGAACCAAAGAGAAACCUCAUUUUAGACGCUAAAAGAUCCAAUGCUAUUAAUAUAGCAAUGAAAAAAUUACCUACGCCUCAGACUAUAAAGGCAGCUAUUAUGAAGAUGGACGCUACCGUAAUAGGCAGAGAAGGGAUCGAAAAACUGCUCACCAUGUUACCAACAGAGGAAGAAAAAGUAAAAAUUCAAGAAGCACAGUACGCCAAUCCUGAUUUGCCUUUGGGCAGCGCCGAACAGUUCCUACUCACCUUGGCCUCUAUUAAUGAACUAUCAUCCCGACUAAAACUUUGGGUAUUCAAAUUGGAUUUUGACAAUUUAGAG
Molecule: unclassified non-coding RNA, 6228 nt
Filed under: Helicoverpa zea (corn earworm)
Lineage: Eukaryota; Metazoa; Arthropoda; Insecta; Lepidoptera; Noctuidae
Description: fH1/FH2 domain-containing protein 3, transcript variant X2
Source: RNAcentral